Molecule: ribosomal RNA, 275 nt
Filed under: uncultured bacterium
Lineage: Bacteria
Description: partial 16S ribosomal RNA
Rfam family: Bacterial small subunit ribosomal RNA
Source: RNAcentral
GCGUGAGUGAUGAAGGCCUUAGGGUUGUAAAGCUCUUUCGGCGGGGACGAUGAUGACGGUACCCGCAGAAGAAGCCCCGGCUAACUUCGUGCCAGCAGCCGCGGUAAUACGAAGGGGGCGAGCGUUGUUCGGAAUUACUGGGCGUAAAGGGCGCGCAGGCGGCUCUGAAAGUCAGAUGUGAAAGCCCCGGGCUUAACCUGGGAAUUGCAUUUGAUACUCUGGAGCUUGAGUACGGGAGAGGAGAGUGGAAUUCCCAGUGUAGAGGUGAAAUUCGU